This 85-nucleotide transfer RNA is filed under the name Phycisphaerales bacterium. RNAcentral's name for it is "tRNA-Leu". It matches the Rfam family "tRNA". Rfam says of the family: Transfer RNA (tRNA) molecules are approximately 80 nucleotides in length. Lineage: Bacteria; Pseudomonadati; Planctomycetota; Phycisphaerae; Phycisphaerales. The record is from RNAcentral.
GGCCCCGUGGCGGAACGGCAGACGCAGCGGACUUAAAAUCCGCAGCCCCUCACAGGGCGUGUGGGUUCGACUCCCACCGGGGCCA